AGAGUUUGAUCCUGGCUCAGGAUGAACGCUGGCGGCGUGCCUAAUACAUGCAAGUAGAACGCUGAAGCUUGGUGCUUGCACCGAGCGGAAGAGUUGCGAACGGGUGAGUAACGCGUAGGUAACCUGCCUCUUAGCGGGGGAUAACUAUUGGAAACGAUAGCUAAUACCGCAUAAAAGUCGACAUUGCAUGAUGUUGACUUGAAAGGUGCAAAUGCAUCACUAAGAGAUGGACCUGCGUUGUAUUAGCUAGUUGGUGAGGUAACGGCUCACCAAGGCGACGAUACAUAGCCGACCUGAGAGGGUGAUCGGCCACACUGGGACUGAGACACGGCCCAGACUCCUACGGGAGGCAGCAGUAGGGAAUCUUCGGCAAUGGACGGAAGUCUGACCGAGCAACGCCGCGUGAGUGAAGAAGGUUUUCGGAUCGUAAAGCUCUGUUGUAAGAGAAGAACGAGUGUGAGAGUGGAAAGUUCACACUGUGACGGUAACUUACCAGAAAGGGACGGCUAACUACGUGCCAGCAGCCGCGGU
This 531-nucleotide ribosomal RNA is filed under the name uncultured Streptococcus sp. RNAcentral describes it as "bacterial SSU rRNA". It matches the Rfam family "Bacterial small subunit ribosomal RNA", at positions 8 to 521 of the family's 1533-position model. The record is from RNAcentral. Lineage: Bacteria; Bacillati; Bacillota; Bacilli; Lactobacillales; Streptococcaceae.